AUGGCUGCCGACAUGAACCAAUGCCACUGCGCCCCCGCUCCCAGUGCUUUGCCAGAGACAAAUAGUAACUUAGCCAAGCUGGUACCAUUUGGUAUCGGAGCUCUGGUCGUCGUAGGCGUCGUCAUGCUGUUCGUCCUGCACGUCCUCGGCUGCUUACGCCGGAGGUCGAGCAACAAGGCCCUCCACGGCGUCGUGGUGGGGGCCUACUCCCUCUCCUACGCGCUGGUCAGCUACACCCUCGGGCUGAUGCAGUCUUCCACGUACUACGUCUACGAGUUUUCCAUAUGGGCGGUGUGCCUGCUCCUGCUCGUCGGCAGCGCCGACUGCCUGACGGCCAGCAGCCUCAACGACAUCGAGAGUUGGAAGAGCCACAUCGUGAAGCACCUCAUCCACGGAAUGUGGGGGGUGUGGAUCGUUCUGUACGUCGGCUUGCUGCCGGGGACGUCGGACUUCCCGGUGACCAUGAAGGUGGCGCUCUGGUUCAUGCUGUUCAUCAUCCUGCUCAAGUCGUACGCGCGGAUCGCAUCCAUGAGGAUGGCGCGCAAAUCUUACAUGCUCUGCAAGAACAUGAAGCGGAUCGCAGACUACAUGCAGGAGGAUGUGCUACGGGCAUGCGAUGAGAGGCCCGACCCGGUGACCAUGCAAGGCUACCGGUACGUGGUCUCCGGCGAGCGCAAGCAGAAAUUCCUCGUGAAGCGACCCGAGUACGUGUUAACUUACGACAGGCAGUGCGUGAAGAUGACCACCGUGGAGCAGAUCUGGUCGUGCACGGGCAGCCUCCUGAGUUCUGACGGCGGCGGGUUGCUCAAGGACAUGUGCCUCUCCAUGGCCUUGUCCAAGAUGCUCAACCGAAGGUUCGCUGGCUUCGAGCUAGUCGAGGCGGAGCUCGAGAAGACCCACGAUUUUGUGUUCAGCGGGCUGCUCGCCGGCGACAAGCAGAAGCAGUGCGAGCGGGUGUUCAGGGUCGUGGAAGAAGAGCUUGCUUUCGUCCAUGACUUGUACUACACAAGGUACCCUUAUCUCUACCACAAGGGUCGCUACUUCGCCUUCUACUUGCCCUUCGCCAUGAUUGGCCUCUGCCUCUGGGCCAUUCACCUGCUCUUCGAGCGUUUUCAGAAGAACAAGUUUCGGUUGUGGACCACUACCACAAUGGUUUUAAUGGUGGUGGUGGCAUUCUUGGAGCUAUUCCAGCUGUACCUGUACGCGGCAUCAGGGUGGUGCAAGGGGGCGUUGAUAAGGAGCUACGCCGCCAUGCCUGCGUCUGCGUUGCAAAGGAACGGCUUCUGUCAGAUGCUCAUUGGUCUUCUAUUGAGGUUGAAGGCGCUUCGCCCGUGGGAGGACAAGCUCGGCCAGUACUCUCUCAUCGACGCGUUCGACCGAACGCGUCGUGCUAGCAAGUGCCUGCACUGCAUGACAUGCUGCCUAGUCGACAAGCCUAAGAAGGGUCGCCACAGAGCCAAGCCUGUCAAGGUGUCGAGGCAGCUGAAGCAAGCAGUCGUCGAUUCUCUCAUCGAUAGCGAGGGCCGCCUCACCAAUGGGGUCAGAUCCCUGAGAAACAAUGGCGUCGAGCAACUAUUGGAGAGGGCUAGCAACAGAACGACGACGACCCACACCGUUCUGGUGUGGCACAUUGCUACAACCCUCUGCAAGCACAGCCUCGAUGAGCAAGCAAAAGACGGGCGGCUGCCCGGAAAUGAUGGAAGCACGAUUGACACGGACUCCUCGGUGGCCUCCAGCUUGUCGCUCUACUGCGCGUACCUCAUCGCCUUCGAGCUGGAUCUCUUGCCCGAUCACAGCUCCGUUUCGACAUUGAUACUCGGGGAAUCCAUCAGAGAAGCGCGCAAGCUGCUCAAAGGGGCCAAGACCAUGAAGCGCAAGUAUGAGAAGCUCAUGGACAUCAGUGACGGGUCCGCCGCCGGCGACGUGUCGAUCGUCGUGGAGGGCGCUCGACUUGCGAGAAGGCUGAACGAGGACAUCCCAGACCCGGCGCGACGCUGGAGGAUCCUCUCCGAGUUCUGGGCGGAGAUGAUGCUGUACCUAGCGCCCUCCGACAACGCCCGGGCGCAUCUGGAGGCUCUGGCGACAGGAGGUGAGUUCAUCACGCACCUCUGGGCGCUGCUCACCCACGCCGGCGUGCUGCAGCGAAAUCGUGGCGCUGGCGGGCCACAGGCUGCUGUCUAA
Molecule: ribosomal RNA, 2181 nt
Filed under: Triticum aestivum (bread wheat)
Lineage: Eukaryota; Viridiplantae; Streptophyta; Magnoliopsida; Poales; Poaceae
Description: partial small subunit ribosomal RNA
Source: RNAcentral